Momordica charantia (bitter melon) is the source of this 144-nucleotide non-coding RNA. The record is from RefSeq and is a predicted model, not a curated record. NCBI's taxonomy places the organism in Eukaryota, Viridiplantae, Streptophyta, Magnoliopsida, Cucurbitales, Cucurbitaceae.
GAUGAAACAGAGAAAAACAAGGAGAAAGAUGUUGAUUAUCUUUCUUCCAUUGAGGUCUUAAUCAUUGAUCAUGCAGAUAUAAUAGCAAUGCAGAACUGGUCCCAUGUGAAUAUUGUCAUUGAACAAAUGAAUAAGAUACCAUCA